This is a long non-coding RNA of Cyprinodon tularosa, 494 nucleotides long. RefSeq lists it as uncharacterized. The record is from RefSeq and is a predicted model, not a curated record. NCBI's taxonomy places the organism in Eukaryota, Metazoa, Chordata, Actinopteri, Cyprinodontiformes, Cyprinodontidae. The transcript has 3 exons.
GAGUUCGCUGUGGAUCCUCCUGAGCUGAGCCUUCGACACACCUGAAGCCCAUCUCGUCAUCAGGAGGAUCCUCCACCAUAUAAGCAGCCCUCAGACCUCGCAUCAACGCCGCAGUGUUUAUCCAGUUUGGAAACCUGUUUUUGUCCUGUAAGCUCUGGAUGAGCUUAACCUGUCGAGCCUGCCCUCUGAGCCAAACCUGAAGACCCUUCUCUGGAUUCCCAUGCUGCUCUGGACUAAGAGCUGGAAUACCAAGGUCUGUCCAAACGUUAGAUGCAAGACGCUGAAGCUGAAACAGAACUCUGCUGAAUUAAACAGUCUCUGGACCCAACAGUGCCUCUCUCAAAGCCAAACCCGGAUUCUUCAAGAGUUUGCUGUGGAUCCUCCUGAGCUGAGCCUUCGACACACCUGAAGCCCAUCUCGUCAUCAGGAGGAUCCUCCACCAUAUAAGCAGCCCUCAGACCUCGCAUCAACGCUGCAGUGUUUAUCCAGUUUGG